Molecule: long non-coding RNA, 256 nt
Filed under: Homo sapiens (human)
Lineage: Eukaryota; Metazoa; Chordata; Mammalia; Primates; Hominidae
Description: HSALNT0054905
Source: RNAcentral
AAAACAUCUGGGGCUGCACGGUGGCUCAUGCCUGUAAUCCCAGCAGUUUGGGAGGUCAACAUGGGUGAAUCACUUGAGGUCAGAAGUUUGGGACCAGCCCAGCCAAUGUGGAUACUCCAGUGAUUUCUGAAAACAUCAUUUCAGGGAGGGGCAAAGGCCCUGAUCAGGAAGUGAAGACAACAUGACUGUGGAGAAGAGAGCCGGGAAGGGAAGAAGCUCAAUAAUGAGUGCAUUCUAGGCCAGCUUCCCCAGUGAG